ACUUAAAUAGCUUAUGUGUAGAGCGUGACGUUGAAGGUGUCAAUGAGGUUAUCUUUACCUUUAAGUA
Molecule: transfer RNA, 67 nt
Filed under: Dolichorhinotermes tenebrosus
Lineage: Eukaryota; Metazoa; Arthropoda; Insecta; Blattodea; Rhinotermitidae
Description: tRNA-Phe
Source: RNAcentral